AUUAACAAGAGGCUGUCACAACGACAGCAAACCGGAUUUAUUUACAUUUAUUUGUGUCCUGGCAAUAUCACAAGAACCAUUACUGAUGAAUGGUGAAAGUGAAAAUCAUAAAUAUCAAAUUUGACCUCCAUUUUGUCAUCAGUAUCAACAUUUUGAAAUAAUAAUAUUUGAAAAGCUUAGAUUGAAUGGUUCAUGAGUAAAUGGAACAACAUGAAUGGAAACACCAUUUUACAAUCUUUCAAGAACCAUAACUCCUGAACAGUAAAAGUCAAAAUCGUCAUUAUGGAACUUAACCUCUAUUUUGUCAUCAGUAACAACAUAUUAAAAUUUCAAAAGCUUUGGUUGAAUGGUUCAUGAGAAAAUGCACGGACACGACGGGUAACACCAUUUUUCAAUCUUUCAAGAACCAUAACUCCUGAACGGUAAAAGUCAAAAUCGUCAUUAUUGAACUUGACCUCCAUUUUGUCAUCAGUAACAGCAUAUUAAAAUUUCGGAAGCUUUGGAAGAACAGUUCAUGCAUAUAUGCACGGACACGACUGGAAACUCCAUUUUUCAAUCUUUCAAGAACCAUAACUCCUGAAAGGUAAAAGUCAAAAUCGUCAUUAUUGAACUUGACCUCCAUUCUGUCAUCAGGAACAACAUAUUAAAAUUUGGGAAGCUUUGGACGAACAGUUCAUGAGUAAAUGCACGGACACGACUGAAAACUCCAUUUUUCAAUCUUUCAAGAACCAUAACUCCUGAACGGUAAAAGUCAAAAUCGC
Molecule: long non-coding RNA, 761 nt
Filed under: Mytilus galloprovincialis (Mediterranean mussel)
Lineage: Eukaryota; Metazoa; Mollusca; Bivalvia; Mytilida; Mytilidae
Source: RNAcentral